Molecule: transfer RNA, 73 nt
Organism: Ovis aries (sheep)
Lineage: Eukaryota; Metazoa; Chordata; Mammalia; Artiodactyla; Bovidae
Rfam family: tRNA
About the family: Transfer RNA (tRNA) molecules are approximately 80 nucleotides in length. Their secondary structure includes four short double-helical elements and three loops (D, anti-codon, and T loops).
Source: Rfam
UCCCUGCUGGCUCAGAGGGUUAAAGCAUCUGCCUGCAGUACGGGAGACCUGGGUUCAAACCCUGGGUUGGGAA